RNAcentral lists this ribosomal RNA (2301 nucleotides) under Triticum aestivum (bread wheat). RNAcentral's name for it is "partial small subunit ribosomal RNA". The record is from RNAcentral. Lineage: Eukaryota; Viridiplantae; Streptophyta; Magnoliopsida; Poales; Poaceae.
AUGCGUGUCACGGCGCGGCGCGCCGGCGUCCUCGGGACGGUGGACUCCCGGCCUACCAACUCGCUGGCGGACGCGGCGCGCGCGCUCUGUGGCUCCUCCCACGACGAGGGCAUCGCUUCCGGGAACAGGCUGAUGGGCGCGCACCUGAGGGCCGGCAGGCCGGGCGCCGCUCGAGAGGUGUUCGACGGAAUGCCGCGGCGCGAUGUGGUGUCCUGGAACUCCCUCAUGGCCGCGCACGCGCGGGAGGGCGCGCACCAGGAGGCUGCAUACGCCUUCCUGGAGUUGAGGCGAUGCAGGCUCAGGCCGGACCACACCUCCUUCUCCACCGUGCUGUCGGCCGUCGCGCGGCUGGAGGCUCUGGAGCUGGGGCGAUGCGUCCACGGCCUCGCGCUCAAGGCCUGCUCCACGGGCAAUGUGUUCGUGGGCGCCUCACUCGUCACCAUGUAUGCCAGCUGUGGGGUUUUCGCCUGCCUGCAGCGGGUCUUUGACGGUGUCGACGCUCCAAAUGUGGCCUUGUGGAAUGCUCUUCUAUCAGGCCUCGUGAUGAACCAUCGGGUAGCAGACGCCCGCAUGGUUUUCGAUCAGAUGCCCGGUCGCAAUGUCGUGUCCUGGACGGCCAUGGUAAAAGGCUAUGUUACGGUGCACGAGGUGGACCUGGCAUUAGAGCUGUUUGACUUGAUGCCCAUGAAGAAUUCUGUGUCGUGGUGUGUCAUCAUAGGAGGGCUUGUCCACCAUCAGCAAUUCAGAGAGGCAAUUGAACUGUUCAAAGGUUUGAUGAGGAAUGGGGAUGAAGUCACAAAUGCGGUUCUAGUUAAGGUUGUGAAUGCUUAUGCUGGCCUGAAAAGUAUUGGAGGAGGCAGAUGCAUUCAUGGGUUUUCUGUGAAGUGUGGAUUUGUUCUUGACCUGAUUAUCGAGACAUCAUUAGUUGCGAUGUACUGUAACUCCUUGGACAUCGAUGAAGCACAAUUGGAGUUUGAUAAGUUGGACAGAAAGCAUGUCGGUUCAUGGAAUGCCAUCAUAUGUGGCUAUAUUUAUGCAGACAAGAUUGAUGAGGCUAGAGAACUUUUUGAUUCCAUGACUGAAAGAGAUAAGGUCUCGUGGAACUCGAUGAUUAAUGGCUAUAUCAGAGAUGGAAGAAUUACUGAUGCUACUGAGUUAUACUCAAGGAUGCCUGAGAAGAACGUGGAAGCAGCUACUGCUUUGAUGUCAUGGUUUGUAGACAACGGAAUGCUAGAUAAAGCACGGGAUAUGUUUUAUAGUAUGCCCCAAACAGAUGUAAUGUCUUGUACAUCUUUACUCUUUGGAUACAUGAAAGAAGGAUAUCUGGAUGAUGCACUGGACCUUUUUCAUAGGAUGCACAUGAGGACUGUUGUCACUUACAAUGUAAUGAUAGCUGGUUUUCUUCAUCAAGGAAAGGUUACUGAAGCUUACAGGCUCUUCAAUGAAUCACCUUCUCAUGAUUCAGUGACUUGGAGCUGUUUAAUUACCGGGCUCGCUCAAAAUGGUUUAACUGAUGAUGCACUUAGGAUGUACAAGAAAAUGCUAUUAACAUAUGUGCGCCCAAGCGAGUCAGUUGUUUCUAGCCUCUUAAGCUGUUUUGCACACCAUUCUAUGAUUGUUCAUGGUCAGCAGUUUCAUGCCACAACUAUCAAGCUUGGACUCGAGUUAUGUUUACUAAUUCAGAAUUCACUCAUUAGCCUAUAUUGCAAAUGUGGCAAAAUGGUUGCAGCCCAGAAUAUUUUUGAUCAGAUGGGUAAGAGAGAUGUGGUUACAUGGAAUACAAUAAUUCAUGGAUAUGCAUUCAGUAGCCUUGGUGAAAAUGCUAUUGAAAUGUUCGAGAAUAUGAAGAGGGCACAAGUUGAUCCUGAUGAUAUCACAUUUCUUGGUGUACUGUCUGCAUGUAGUCACAUGAGUCUUUUGGAGGAAGCAAAACAUUUCUUCAAUGCGAUGACACGUGAUCAUGGAAUUGUGCCUAAUAUAACGCACUAUGCUUGCAUGGUUGAUCUAUUUUGUAGGAGAGGCAUGGUUGAGGAGGCUGAAGGGUUAGUGAAGUCAAUGCCAUUUGAACCUGAUUCAGCAAUAUGGACCUCUCUCUUGAGCAGUUGCAGACUGAGUGGCAAUGAUAAGUUAGCAGAGCAUGCGGCAAGCCAAUUGAUCGCCAUAAAUCCUGGUACUAAAAUGCCUUAUCUGCACCUCAUCAGUGUACAUGGAUCAACAAAUAGAUGGGGUAUGAUUGAUAGUCUGCGAAGUCAAAUUAGGAGAACUGCCACUCAGAAAGAAGUUGGUUAUAGCUGGAUUUAG